RNAcentral lists this ribosomal RNA (301 nucleotides) under uncultured bacterium. RNAcentral's name for it is "partial 16S ribosomal RNA". It matches the Rfam family "Archaeal small subunit ribosomal RNA", at positions 459 to 760 of the family's 1478-position model. The record is from RNAcentral.
CAGUAGCCGCGGGAAUACCAGCACCUCGAGUGGUCAGGAGGUUUAUUGGGCCUAAAGCAUCCGUAGCCGGUUGCAUAAGUUUUCGGUUAAAUCUAUGCGCUUAACGUAUAGGCCGCCGAAAAUACUGUGCAGCUAGGGAGUGGGAGAGGUACACGGUACUCGAUAGGAAGGGGUAAAAUCCUUUGAUCUAUUGAUGACCACCUGUGGCGAAGGCGGUGUACCAGAACACGUUCGACGGUGAGGGAUGAAAGCUGGGGGAGCAAACCGGAUUAGAUACCCGCGUAGUCCCUGUCUCUUAUAC